AUUGAACGCUGGCGGAAUGCUUUACACAUGCAAGUCGAACGGUAGAGGGGGCAACCCCUCGAGAGCGGCGAACGGGUGAGUAAUAUAUCGGAACGUGCCCAGUCGUGGGGGAUAACGUAGCGAAAGUUACGCUAAUACCGCAUACGAUCUAAGGAUGAAAGCGGGGGAUCGCAAGACCUCGCGCGAUUGAAGCGGCCGAUAUCAGAUUAGGUAGCUGGUGGGGUAAAGGCCCACCAAGCCAACGAUCUGUAGCUGGUCUGAGAGGACGACCAGCCACACUGGAACUGAGACACGGUCCAGACUCAUACGGGAGGCAGCAGUGGGGAAUUUUGGACAAUGGGCGAAAGCCUGAUCCAGCCAUUCCGCGUGCAGGAUGAAGGCCCUCGGGUUGUAAACUGCUUUUGUACAGAACGAAAAGGUUUCUACUAAUACUAGGAGCUCAUGACGGUACUGUAAGAAUAAGCACCGGCUAACUACGUGCCAGCAGCCGCCGUAA
This 496-nucleotide ribosomal RNA is filed under the name uncultured bacterium. RNAcentral's name for it is "partial 16S ribosomal RNA". It matches the Rfam family "Bacterial small subunit ribosomal RNA", at positions 30 to 523 of the family's 1533-position model. The record is from RNAcentral.